Molecule: ribosomal RNA, 493 nt
Filed under: uncultured bacterium
Lineage: Bacteria
Description: partial 16S ribosomal RNA
Rfam family: Bacterial small subunit ribosomal RNA
Source: RNAcentral
AUUGAACGCUGGCGGCAUGCUUUACACAUGCAAGUCGAACGGUAACAGGUUAAGCUGACGAGUGGCGAACGGGUGAGUAAUGCAUCGGAACGUGCCCGAUCGUGGGGGAUAACGCAGCGAAAGCUGCGCUAAUACCGCAUACGAUCUGAGGAUGAAAGCGGGGGACCGUAAGGCCCCGCGCGAUCGGAGCGGCCGAUGUCAGAUUAGGUAGUUGGUGGGGUAAAGGCUCACCAAGCCAACGAUCUGUAGCUGGUCUGAGAGGACGACCAGCCACACUGGGACUGAGACACGGCCCAGACUCCGACGGGAGGCAGCAGUGGGGAAUUUUGGACAAUGGGCGAAAGCCUGAUCCAGCAAUGCCGCGUGCAGGAAGAAGGCCUUCGGGUUGUAAACUGCUUUUGUACGGAGCGAAAAGGCCCUCUCUAAUACAGUGGGCUCAUGACGGUACCGUAAGAAUAAGCACCGGCUAACUACGUGCCAGCAGCCGCCGUAA